GUAUUGAAUUGUAACUCCAAAUCAAUAAGCUAGUUUAUCAGCCAAGAACUUUUUCUUAUUUGCAUUUGCAUUUGCACUUGCAAGCCCCUCUUCCCUCUUUUUGCUUUGCUAGUCACGUAUGUUUGUUUGUUCAGAAAAGACAAGGAAAGAAAAGAGACAGAAACAGAAACAGAGACAAAGACAGAAUCUCUAUCCCUUAUAUCCCCCUCCCCUCCCUUCCCCCUCCUCAUCUCCUCUGAGGUUAUAAAGUAUUUCUUUGAUGAUCCCUCCGCAGGUUCACCUACGGAGA
This 289-nucleotide unclassified non-coding RNA is filed under the name uncultured fungus. Its description in RNAcentral is "sequence contains ITS1". Lineage: Eukaryota; Fungi. The record is from RNAcentral.